Molecule: long non-coding RNA, 226 nt
Filed under: Elaeis guineensis (African oil palm)
Lineage: Eukaryota; Viridiplantae; Streptophyta; Magnoliopsida; Arecales; Arecaceae
Description: long non-coding RNA (EGUI_LNC028913)
Source: RNAcentral
UCUAUCAAGCCGGUGCAAAUGGUAUCAAUUAACUAGUGUAAUAAAAUAUACAAUAUAAUGAAAAUUUGCCUUUUGGAUCAUUAUCUACNCAUCUUAAAAUAUAGAUAGAUUUGAAUUCAUUAGAUUUUGAUGACUAGAUGAUAAGAAAAAUAUAGCACCAUGCUAUUAAAAUUGUCUAUUUUACGUAUUCGAUGAUUAGGUUAGGACUUAUCAAAACAUAAGAAGU